UCCGGUGGCGAUGCGCUUAGGGGUAACACCCGUUCCCAUCCCGAACACGAUGGUUAAGACCUAAGCGGCCGAUGGUACUUUACUGGAGACGGUACGGGAGAGUAGGUGGCUGCCGGGC
This 118-nucleotide ribosomal RNA is filed under the name Dorea formicigenerans. The record is from RNAcentral. Lineage: Bacteria; Bacillati; Bacillota; Clostridia; Lachnospirales; Lachnospiraceae. RNAcentral also lists the same sequence under 1 other name.